AUCGCUUCUCGGCCUUUUUUGGCUUAGAUCAAGUGUAGUACCAAGUUUAAUAUCUGAUACGUCCUCUAUCUGAGGACAAGAAUAUUAAAUGGAAUCUUGGAAUUAGGAGAUGGAAUAGGAGCUUGCUCCGUUCACUCCACACAUCGACCUGGUAUUGCAGUACCUCCAGGAACGGUGCACUAAAA
This 185-nucleotide small nuclear RNA is filed under the name Echinops telfairi (small Madagascar hedgehog). Its description in RNAcentral is "U2 spliceosomal RNA (ENSETEG00000021302.1)". It matches the Rfam family "U2 spliceosomal RNA". From Rfam's summary of the family: U2 is a small nuclear RNA (snRNA) component of the spliceosome (involved in pre-mRNA splicing). Complementary binding between U2 snRNA (in an area lying towards the 5' end but 3' to hairpin I) and the branchpoint sequence (BPS) of the intron results the bulging out of an unpaired adenosine, on the BPS, which initiates a nucleophilic attack at the intronic 5' splice site, thus starting the first of two transesterification reactions that mediate splicing. Lineage: Eukaryota; Metazoa; Chordata; Mammalia; Afrosoricida; Tenrecidae. The record is from RNAcentral.